UACGGGGGGGGCAAGCGUUGUUCGGAAUUACUGGGCGUAAAGGGCUCGUAGGCGGCCAACUAAGUCAGACGUGAAAUCCCUCGGCUUAACCGGGGAACUGCGUCUGAUACUGGAUGGCUAGAGGUUGGGAGAGGGAUGCGGAAUUCCAGGUGUAGCGGUGAAAUGCGUAGAUAUCUGGAGGAACACCGGUGGCGAAGGCGGCUUGCCAGAACGCGCUCGACGGUGAGGGAUGAAAGCUGGGGGAGCAAACCGG
Molecule: ribosomal RNA, 253 nt
Filed under: uncultured bacterium
Lineage: Bacteria
Description: partial 16S ribosomal RNA
Rfam family: Bacterial small subunit ribosomal RNA
Source: RNAcentral